CGCGAAAAUAGUUGAGCUAAGUAAUAGUUUAUUCUUAGAUUUCCUUAUGUGGCAUAAUACAAUUAAAUAAUUACUUAGGAGUGAAAGGCCUUUCAAAUCUAUAGAUAUCUCGAUACUUUCAAUAUACAUAUAGUGUAAUGUCAACUAAAUAAUGAUAAGGUUGUUUAGUAUCGCAAAAAGAUUAUUGUAUUAUUAUUAUUUUGGUUUAACCGCCUAAUAAUUAGACAAAGUAACAUAUUUUUAUUCUAAUUGCGUUAAUUAGAAAGUAACAUAUAAACAACUAUUAAUGUAAAUAAUGUAAUUAUUAGUAAUUACUAGUUACUUACAAUGAACUCGGCAAUAUACCUUUCAACUGUUUACCAAAAACAUAGUUAUGAGAAUGUAUUCAUAAUGAUUUCUGCUCCAUGAUUUAUUAAAUAGCCGCAGUACCCUGACUGUGCAAAGGUAGCGUAAUAAUUUGACUUAUAAUUAAAGUCUUGUAUGAAAGAAUUUAUGGGGGGUAACUUUAUUUUAAGUAAAAAGUGAAUUUAUUUAUUAAGUGCAAAUUCUUAUAAUUAAAAGACAGACGAGAAGACCCUAGAAAUUUUUAUAAUAGUGUUAUAUUUUUUUUUUGUUGGGGCAACAAAGUAACAAGAAACUUACUUUAUAUUAACACGCAUAUAAUGUAUGUUAGAUUAAAUUACUCUAGGGAUAACAGCGUGAUUUAUAAAAGUUUGCGACCUCGAUGUUGGACUAGGAAUCAAAUACUUAGAA
This 753-nucleotide ribosomal RNA is filed under the name Nanotrachia costulata montejinni. RNAcentral describes it as "partial 16S ribosomal RNA". The stretch from base 346 to 500 matches the Rfam family "Archaeal large subunit ribosomal RNA", at positions 1885 to 2088 of the family's 2987-position model. Lineage: Eukaryota; Metazoa; Mollusca; Gastropoda; Stylommatophora; Camaenidae. The record is from RNAcentral.